AAACUUCUGCAAUAGGGUUUAGUAUAUUGCAUCUCUUAAAUCGAGAUUAAUUGCUUUGCAGAUAGCAGUAAUAUAUAUGACCUUGUCGUAAUCGAUUACAUCGAUUCUCAAUUUUUUCU
This 119-nucleotide non-coding RNA is filed under the name unclassified sequences. Its description in RNAcentral is "RT-5 RNA". It matches the Rfam family "RT-5 RNA". Rfam says of the family: Clostridium (Firmicutes). Environment (Cow rumen (57)) The record is from Rfam by way of RNAcentral.